This 261-nucleotide ribosomal RNA is filed under the name uncultured bacterium. RNAcentral's name for it is "partial 16S ribosomal RNA". It matches the Rfam family "Bacterial small subunit ribosomal RNA", at positions 96 to 353 of the family's 1533-position model. The record is from RNAcentral.
UGGCGGACGGGUGAGUAACGCGUGGGUAACCUGCCCUGUACAGGGGGAGUAACAGUUAGAAAUGACUGCUAAUACCGCAUAAGACCACAGCACCGCAUGGUGCAGGGGUAAAAACUACCGGUGGUACAGGAUGGACCCGCGUCUGAUUAGCUGGUUGGUGAGGUAACGGCUCACCAAGGCGACGAUCAGUAGCCGGCUUGAGAGAGUGAACGGCCACAUUGGGACUGAGACACGGCCCAAACUCCUACGGGAGGCAGCAUG